AGAGUUUGAUCCUGGCUCAGGAUGAACGCUAGCUGGAGGCUUAAUACAUGCAAGUCGAGCGGGAUUGGUAGCAAUACCAUGAGAGCGGCGCACGGGUGAGUAACGCGUACACGACCUACCUCUGACAGGGGGAUAGCCCUGGGAAACUGGGAUUAAUACCGCAUAUUAUUCUGAUUAAUAAAGGAUUGGAAUGAAAGUUCAGGCGGUCAGAGAUGGGUGUGCGUCUGAUUAGCUAGUUGGUAGGGUAACGGCCUACCAAGGCGAUGAUCAGUAGGGGGCGUGAGAGCGUGGUCCCCCACACGGGUACUGAGACACGGACCCGACUCCUACGGGAGGCAGCAGUAAGGAAUAUUGGACAAUGGCCGCAAGGCUGAUCCAGCCAUCCAGCGUGCAGGAAGAAGGCCCUAUGGGUUGUAAACUGCUUUUAUCAGGGAAUAAACCUCUGGAUUCACUCCGGAGCUGAAGGUACCUGAAGAAUAAGCACCGGCUAACUCCGUGCCAGCAGCCGCGGUAAUACGGAGGGUGCGAGCGUUAUCCGGAAUUACUGGGUUUAAAGGGUGCGUAGGCGGCUUUGUAAGUCAGGAGUGAAAGUUUGCGGCUCAACCGUAAAAUUGCUUCUGAUACUGCAUGGCUAGAAUUAGGAUGAGGUCAGCGGAAUGUGGCAUGUAGCGGUGAAAUGCAUAGAUAUGCCAUAGAACACCAAUUGCGAAGGCAGCUGGCUAGACCUGGAUUGACGCUGAGGCACGAAAGCGUGGGGAGCGAACAGGAUUAGAUACCCUGGGUAGUCCACGCCCUAAACGAUGCUUACUCGACGUAUGGCACUAGUUGUUGUGCGUCCAAGGGAAACCGUUAAGUAAGCCACCUGGGGAGUACGACCGCAAGGUUGAAACUCAAAUGAAUUGACGG
RNAcentral lists this ribosomal RNA (906 nucleotides) under uncultured bacterium. RNAcentral's name for it is "bacterial SSU rRNA". It matches the Rfam family "Bacterial small subunit ribosomal RNA", at positions 8 to 916 of the family's 1533-position model. The record is from RNAcentral.